This is a long non-coding RNA of Malaya genurostris, 1357 nucleotides long. RefSeq lists it as uncharacterized. The transcript has 3 exons. NCBI's taxonomy places the organism in Eukaryota, Metazoa, Arthropoda, Insecta, Diptera, Culicidae. The record is from RefSeq and is a predicted model, not a curated record.
UUUAUUAGCCAAAAACUCAUGAGAAGUGUCAAAGCAAAACAAUCCAUUAAAAAACUAAAAAGGACAGUCUUGUUGAAACUGCUUGCAAAUUGUUUAGAUGUUUUUCGCAUAUUUUACGAUAUAGCCAUACAUAAAUUUCUAAACCGUUAUGUGAAAAUGACGUAAACUGUUAGUGGAAAGUGUAUUUAUUCAGAAUUUGUGCGCAUUUGAAGCGAUUGUGGGUAAUAAUGUUCUUACACGGAACAGUGGAGUGAGUUUCGAAAGUUGCACUCUAAUUGUACACGUCAAAUGAUGUUUUUUGUAUCUUCUAACAUUCCGGGCUACGCCGUCCGGUGUACUACUUGUAUUCGGUUUUUGUUUUCCGAGUGCUCAAAGUUUUCAGUGAGAGAGUCGAUUUCGCGAAGUCGAAUGAAGAAAACAGCGAUUUAGAAGUAAAAUUUUCAAAAAGAAGUUCAUGUUUCGCUUAUGUCUUUUUCUCUAAUACAACUUCGUAUUUAUACCUGCCAAUAUAGAAAAGACAACCGCGACUGAAACUUUUUACGGUGGUAGUGUGCCAUCUAGUGGCUAGUAGUCAUUACGGUGUUAACGGUGUUAAAUUAGUUGAAUGGAUAUGAAGUGUGCCUUAGCUAAGAAAUGACAGCACGUUUAAUCGAUUUUGCGUCACAUGUCGACUUUUGGUAGCUUGCGUUGCUGAACGAGAAAGUGGAAAACCCACCAGGGUCAAUCAGUAAGACAUAACCGGUAAUGGAAAAAAAUCCGUUCAUCGAGGAUGAAUAUAAAUAUUCCAAAAAAUCAUGUUAGUAAUUAUUUGUCAUCGAAUUUUCGACCCGAACUUACUGUUUUGGAAGUACAGGCCAUAAGUAUCUGCUGAAUUAAAAUGAUGGUUGAACGUGUUGUAGCGUUAAUUGUCAUUUUCGGUGGUUGUAUCAUUCCUCUUGUGAUUAGUGCUCCAAAGCCAGAUCCAAAGAUAUUCGAUGCCCCAAUGGCAGAAACAGGAAGAGACGUACUACCUGUUAUUGUCGGGAAACCGAAAUCUCUGUUGGAUAAGGAGGGACAAAAGAGAGUUUACGAUUUGGCCGCCACAGUUACCGAUGAUGAUGAUGAUGUUUACAAACAUCAACGAUCUAUUUCUAUGGAUGAUAAUUCAAUUAGAGAAUAUUUUUGUGGUCACUUCAACGAAAAAACCAAGCUAUGUAUUAAUCAUAAAUUAAUAAUAUAAAACAAGAAAGUAUCUGUUUUAAAUUUGAGGACGAGUGUUUCAAGCUUAACAUGAAGUACUUAAAUUAUAAUUCUCAUAUUUUGUUCUAAUGGCCGCCAUUAUCAAUAAAAUACAAAAUUUCAUUCUAAAUUUCUCUGU